RNAcentral lists this ribosomal RNA (254 nucleotides) under uncultured bacterium. Its description in RNAcentral is "partial 16S ribosomal RNA". It matches the Rfam family "Bacterial small subunit ribosomal RNA", at positions 524 to 776 of the family's 1533-position model. The record is from RNAcentral.
UACGUAGGGCGCAAGCGUUAUCCGGAAUUAUUGGGCGUAAAGAGCUCGUAGGCGGUUUGUCGCGUCUGCCGUGAAAGUCCGGGGCUCAACUCCGGAUCUGCGGUGGGUACGGGCAGACUAGAGUGAUGUAGGGGAGACUGGAAUUCCUGGUGUAGCGGUGAAAUGCGCAGAUAUCAGGAGGAACACCGGUGGCGAAGGCGGGUCUCUGGGCCGGAACUGACGCUAAGGCGCGAACGCGUGGGGAGCGGAACAGG